Molecule: non-coding RNA, 149 nt
Filed under: Gemella morbillorum
Lineage: Bacteria; Bacillati; Bacillota; Bacilli; Caryophanales; Gemellaceae
Source: RNAcentral
AUCGUGAGGUGUGGACGAGAAGAAGCAAUAGCGAAAUCGUAGCCUGACGAACAGAAACCUAAUAUCAAGGCUUGCAUAACGGAUAAGUGGGCAUAAAGUCAUGAAGUCCAAAAGGCAAUCGUAACUUAUGCAAGUAGAUCAGGCAGACG